AACAGUUUUGGUCCUGAGCUAACCGUUCUUUUUUAUUAAGAUUAUACAUGCAAGCCUCAGCACACCAGUGAAAAUGCCCAUAACCCCUUAAAAGACGCGUUGGAGCCGGCAUCAGGCACUACCAUCAAGCCCAUGACGCCUUGCUACGCCACACCCCCACGGGUUUAUCAGCAGUAAUAAACAUUGGGCUAUGAGUGAAAACUUGACCCAACUAUAAUAUAUUAGGGCUGGUCAAUUUCGUGCCAGCCACCGCGGUUAUACGAAAGGCCCAAAAUAACGGCUAACGGCGUAAAAUGUGACUAGAGAUUUCAUAACAUAUAUAAAUAUAUUAAACCUAUAACCUAGUUGUAAAACACUUAGAUAUUAAAGGAAAACCAAACACAUAUUUUUAAUGUUAUAUUCUUGACUACACGAAAGCUUAGAAACAAACUAGGAUUAGAUACCCUACUAUGCUAAGCCCUUAACAUUGAUAGUAUUAUACAAUCUUUCCGCCAGAGAACUACAAGUGAAAAACUUGAAACUCAAAGGACUUGACGGUGUCCCAUACCGACCUAGAGGAGCCUGUCCUAUAAUCGAUACUCCCCGCUCCACCCAACCCCAACUAGCAUUCCUCAGCCUAUAUACCGCCGUCGAUCAGCCUACCCUAUGAAAGUCCAAUAGUAGACACAAUAGCCCUAUCGCUAAUACGUCAGGUCAAGGUGUAGCAAAUGUUGUGGAAGAGAUUGGCUACAUUUUUUAUUAUAAAAAAUACGAAAAAUACUAUGAAACAGUAUAUGAAGGUGAAUUUAGUAGUAAAAUAAACAAGAGUGCUUAUUUUAACACCGCUCUGGGACGCGUACACACCGCCCGUCACCCUCCUCAACUAACCUAUAAAUCCACCCUUUAUAAACCAACAAAAGUUAAAUUAGAGGAGGUAAGUCGUAACAUGGUAAGCGUACCGGAAGGUGUGCUUGGAUUAAC
Molecule: non-coding RNA, 960 nt
Filed under: Darevskia unisexualis
Lineage: Eukaryota; Metazoa; Chordata; Lepidosauria; Squamata; Lacertidae
Description: 12S ribosomal RNA
Rfam family: Bacterial small subunit ribosomal RNA
Source: RNAcentral